GGGCCUGUAUGAAUGGUAGUACGAGGGUUUGACUGUCUCUUCUCUCCGGUCAGUGAAACUGAUCUCUCCGUGCAGAAGCGGACAUUUUUUUACAAGACGAGAAGACCCUAUGGAGCUUUAGACGCUAGCCAACUGCCGAAGAUGACCUUUCCAAAAGAGUUUCCUAGCCCCGGUGGUUCUGGCCACGUGGUCUUAGGUUGGGGCGACCGCGGGAGAAAACAAAGCUCCCAAGCAGACAGGGUGAACCCUGAAACCGAGAGCGACGGCUCUAAGUCGCAAAAUUUUUGACUAUUUGAUCCGGCAUAAGCCGAUUAACGAACCAAGUUACCCUAGGGAUAACAGCGCAAUCCCCUCCCAGAGUCCCUAUCGACAAGGGGGUUUACGACCUCGAUGUUGGAUCAGGACAUCCUAAUGGUGCAGCCGCUAUUAAGGGUUUGUUUGUUCAACAAUUAAAGUCCUACAUGAUCUGAGU
This 472-nucleotide ribosomal RNA is filed under the name Stolephorus indicus (Indian anchovy). RNAcentral describes it as "LSU rRNA". It matches the Rfam family "Bacterial large subunit ribosomal RNA", at positions 1984 to 2610 of the family's 2925-position model. The record is from RNAcentral. Lineage: Eukaryota; Metazoa; Chordata; Actinopteri; Clupeiformes; Engraulidae.